GUGGAAGGCAUUUCGGUAUUGUUGCGCAACCAAUUUCAAGUGCAGCCAAUCUCAGCACUAAACGCUGCGUUUAAGUGCGACCUAAAUAUCCUUUCUGCGACGCUGUCGGGAAAUUAUAAUGACUUGGGCAUUGUUAACAGGCUUGGUGUUGUUCAGCGACGGCGGACCCAGGAACGGCACUUGGCCUCGUUUCGCAGGAGACUGACAGGAAAGUUAGACCCUUCCACGUUUCUGCCUCUUCCAGCAGACACUCACCUCUCCGGAGAAUGCAAACUACACAGCUGCCAUUUUCUCUAUGCUAAUAUCAUUCAAAACGUUCAUUUUCUCAUGAACCAUCUUUCUAGCUACACUACUAUACUGUCCAUCUCAUACUUUCUCUCCUUCGGCACAUUUACUCCGUCUGUCAAUUGCAAGUUAUUGAUGUAUUGUUGCUCACUAUGUAACUAUUUAUCCAGUUCUUUGUCUUCUUCUAAUUGUUUUAUGCUAUAACUUUUGAUUGUUUUACAAUUUUACCUUUUUUUGUUCUUGUUCUUCUGUGCACCAACACUCAGACCUCAGUGUCACUCCUGGUCACAUUGAAUAAAUUACUGACUGAUACUGAA
Dermacentor andersoni is the source of this 602-nucleotide long non-coding RNA. RefSeq lists it as uncharacterized. The record is from RefSeq and is a predicted model, not a curated record. Lineage: Eukaryota; Metazoa; Arthropoda; Arachnida; Ixodida; Ixodidae.